This 253-nucleotide ribosomal RNA is filed under the name uncultured bacterium. RNAcentral describes it as "partial 16S ribosomal RNA". It matches the Rfam family "Bacterial small subunit ribosomal RNA", at positions 524 to 776 of the family's 1533-position model. The record is from RNAcentral.
GACAGAGGGGGCGAGCGUUGUCCGGAGUCACUGGGCGUAAAGCGCGCGCAGGCGGCAACCUUAGUGUCGUGUGAAAGCCCCCGGCUCAACCGGGGGAGGCCAUGGCAAACUGGGUCGCUCGAGCUGCGGAGAGGCCCCUCGAAUUGCCGGUGUAGCGGUGAAAUGCGUAGAGAUCGGCAGGAAGACCAAGGGGGAAGCCAGGGGGCUGGCCGCAGGCUGACGCUGAGGCGCGAAAGCGUGGGGAGCAAACAGG